AAAUUGUUUGCUGAAUCACUUUUAUCAUAACUGUUUUGAAUAUGGUUGCUAAUUUCAUGGUCUGAUUAAAUUUUUGAAAUUUGCAUUGAACCCUGAUUUGCCUCACUUUACUCUUUGUCCAUUGAUUUGAUUAGAAGGCUACACUGAUUUCUGACAUGGAUUAGAACCAUUGUUCUUUCUCUAUUGAAACGGAAAUUAAAAUUGUUUUGAGAAAGCAGUUUUUGUGUAUUUGAGUAAGUGUAGAAUUCAGUUUGAUUUAGAGUGAAUGCUUGCAAAUUCUUGAAUGCAUCUAGUUUCAUUCCAAAUCUGUUUGAUAUAGUUACUGUUCUGGUACUACCGUGAACGAGUUGAACUGUUUGAAACAAAUAGGCUUGUGCAUCAACAUUGUUUUAACUGUCAUACCUCUUUCAGUUUUAUAAAGUGAAUCAAGCAUUGCAUUUCCAGUUAUGAUUACAUGAUUGAAUGAGUUAGAUGAAUAUGGUCUGCAUGGUAUCCCAUUAUU
This 502-nucleotide long non-coding RNA is filed under the name Vigna radiata. Its description in RNAcentral is "long non-coding RNA (VRAD_LNC014853)". The record is from RNAcentral. Lineage: Eukaryota; Viridiplantae; Streptophyta; Magnoliopsida; Fabales; Fabaceae.